This 534-nucleotide long non-coding RNA is filed under the name Homo sapiens (human). RNAcentral's name for it is "non-protein coding lnc-ANKRD20A8P-14:1". The record is from RNAcentral. Lineage: Eukaryota; Metazoa; Chordata; Mammalia; Primates; Hominidae.
AAUGACAAUAAAUAUGUUAAAUGUAUUUGGAAAUGCAGACUUUGAUUGCCAUGGAGACUUAAAAACAGAUCAACUGAAAAUGGAUAUUCUGAUUAAGAAGCUAAAACAGGGAACGAGCACAAUAUGAAAAACAAUUAGAGCAGUUAAACAAGGAUAAUAUGGCUUCACUAAGUAAGAAGGAACUCACACUUAAAGAUGUGGAAUGUAAAUUCUCAGAAAUGAAAACUGCUUAUGAAGAGGUUACAACCGAAUUAGAAGAAUAUAAUAAGGAAGCCUUUGCAGCAGCAUUGAAAGAUAACAAUUCCAUGUCAAAAAAAUUACAGAUCGAAUAAGAAAAUAGCAACGAUCAGCAUGGAGCUCCUUAUGGAGAAAGAGCGGAUGAAAUAUUUUCUCAGCACUCUUCCUACAAGGCGAGACCCAGAGUCACCUUGUGUUGAAAAUCUUACUAGUAUAGGACUCAACAGAAAAUAUAUUCUCCAAACACCCAUAAGAAUUCCUAUUUCAAGCCCACAGACUUCAAAUAACUUCAAGAAC